AGAAACAGAAAGCUAAAAACGAAACAGAGCAGGAAAGAAAGGAGAAAGGGAAAAUUAGGGUUUAAAGUUUUGAAGCUUUAAAGGUAAGUUAAAUCAAGUCCUUUUCUCAUAAAUUUGAUGUUUUUGGAAUCCUAGAGUGAAAUACUCUUGGAUAUAAGUUGAAAAUUUGAAAGUUAAUAGAUUUUUGAGUAAGAGUUAUGUUGAAUAAAUGAUGGAAUUGAGGGUUUAUUUGAUAGAAUUUCUAGUUAGAAUUGAUAAAAGGAUUAAAUUGUGAAGUAAGCUAUAAGUUUUGAAUUUUAGGGAUUAAAUUGAAAUAAAUUCGAAAUUAUGAAAAUAUGAUAAAAAUUAGAUAGUUAAAUGUGAGUUUGGUAGGAAAUUAAGUAGUAAAAAGGUAUGAAUUGAGAAAGAAAAAUAUAUAGGUUUAGUUAGGAUUAAAUUAGAAUUAAAGUAAAAGUUAGAUAAAAAUUUCAGCAAUUAAAUUGUUUUGUGCUAAUGAUUGUGAAAUUAUUUUAAUUGUUCGUAGCUAAUAUCGAGCCUGAAGCAUCGGCCCAAAAAGGAAAAGAAAAGAUCGUCGAGGAUUAGAUCCGAAGAGAAUUCCGGUUUGUAUUACUAUAAUUCAAAUUUAUUUAUUAUUAAUUGUUAUAUUUUAAUUAAAAUGCAUGGUAAGUAAAAUUAGGUAAGCAAUUGAAAUGAUAAUAGUGAUUUGAAUUGAAUUAAAUUGAAUUGAAUGAUGGAAAUAUGUGAGUAUUUGAAAUGUAUAUUGAUUGAAAAGUAAUUAGUGAUUUGAAUUUGAUUGGAAAAUGAAUUUAAAAUAUGAAUUAAAUAAAGUGAAUUAACUUAUGAAUAUGUGUGAAUAUGUGAAUUGUGUAUUGAUUGAAAAGUGGUUUGAGUUGAAUCGAAAUAUGAUUAUAUGUGAUUAUUUGAAAUAUGUAUUGUUAUUAAAUUGUUAAUUGAUUAGAAAGUGAAAAAGUGAUCUUGAAUUGAAAAUGAAAGUGAAUUGAGAAUUUGAAUACCCUAUUAACUAGUCGGGCUAAGUCAGAUAUAGUUGGCAUGCCAUAGGAUUGGAAGAGUACGGGAUUUAUCGGCUUUGCCGACCAGGCACUUUAUGUGUUGUAUUUCAGGCACUUUAUGUGUCGUAUCAGGCAUCUCGUGUGUCGUUUCAGGCACUUAUGUGUCGUAUACUGAUCAGGUACUAUGUACCGUUUUAGGCACAAUGUGCCGUACUGGUGUGUUUGGGUUGGAAUCCGUGUAUCCAUCAAAGUCCAGAUUGUUAAUAGGGUGAAUAAUUGAAAUGAGAAAAUUAAAUGAAUUUGAUCGAUUGAGGUAUUGAAUAUGAGAAAAUUUAAAAUUCGCAGAUUGAAAUCGAUAUUGAAAAUAAAAGGCAUGAAUUUAAUGUUUAUGUAAUGAUUGAAAUUGCUAUAUGUGAUAUGUGAUUGAGAUUAAAAGAUAGCUAAAAAUUGUAUUGUUAUUGUUAAAUAAUGAAAGUUUAUGAAUUAAUUGAUAUUUAAGAAAUCGGAUAGUUACAUGCUUCGUAAUUAUAAUUCUUUAUUGUUAUUAUAAUUUGAAUUAUGGUAAUACCAAUAUAAAAUACUCAGCGUACGGUUGUUUCCGUGCUCAGGUUGAAAAAGGGGUCUGAGUCUCGAUUCAGCAUCCAGGUCAAUCCCGAUUCCUGCAUAGAGAUUACGGUGAUGUUUCUUCCUUAAAUGAAAGUGGCAUGUACAUAAGAAUUAUAAUAGUUAUUUUGGUAUGUUAUAUAGUUUUGUUGUAAAGUAAGAUAUUAUGUGUUUUGAUGAUUAUAUUAGUAAAAUGGUGCAAGUCCUUUAUGGCAUUGGUAUCAAAUCGAAAUGACUUGAUUAGUUUUAUGAGUUAAUUAGAAAUGAUAAUAGGAUUUUUUAUUAAUUAGGUUGUUAUGUCAAUAUGUCAAGUACGAUUUAAGUAUAUAAAUGCCUUGAUUGAAAUAGUGG
Molecule: long non-coding RNA, 1964 nt
Filed under: Gossypium barbadense (sea-island cotton)
Lineage: Eukaryota; Viridiplantae; Streptophyta; Magnoliopsida; Malvales; Malvaceae
Description: long non-coding RNA (GBAR_LNC016866)
Source: RNAcentral